Long non-coding RNA from Polypterus senegalus (gray bichir), 2966 nucleotides. RefSeq lists it as uncharacterized. The record is from RefSeq and is a predicted model, not a curated record. The transcript has 6 exons. NCBI's taxonomy places the organism in Eukaryota, Metazoa, Chordata, Cladistia, Polypteriformes, Polypteridae.
GAUCCCUGUGAUAUAAAUUAUAUACAUCUUAGGACUGAAAUGUACAUUUUUGAAAACUUGCAAUAUCAACCAUAACUUUGUCAAUGUUUCUCUACCACUGCAAAUUUUUUAAGAAGAAAGGAGGAAAGAAGUAGCAAUUACAGUAUAUGACCAGCCAGAGGAUUCUGGUUCUUCUGAAAGAAAGAUCACAUUAGAAUAGGCAGUUUGUGUGGCAUAGUGGUUAAGACUUUGGACUUCCUCGCCUGCAAUAGUGUAAAUCCCACUACUGACACUGUGCGACCUGCCUGUACUCCAAUUGAAAAAAGUAAAACAAAUGUGACCGGUUGCAUCUGAAAUGGUGUAAAUCACCUUGAAUAAAGGUGUCAGCCAAAAAAAAAAAAAAAGGAAAUGAAAAAUAACUUUAGAUAUUACACAUUUUGGUCCAAGAUGAAGCUAAGCUACAAUACCACUUGUGAUGUUCAUUGACUUCUGUGGAGCAAAUCCUCUUUUCAUUCCUUUAGUUAGGACCAGAACACUUUUACUUUGCAGUGAAGUUAAUUGAAUUGUUUAUUCAUUUCUUAUUUUUGCUUAGGGUAACUUUAAAAGUGUUUGUUUAUGAAAUAUAUUAGAUAAAUCUGGUGUGGAGUCAAAAUUUACUUUGAACAUUUCUGAUUACCAUCAUCUACAUAAAGGCAGAAAUGCUUAUCACUGUCUUGUACCUUAACAGUAUUAUGCAGGCAAUUCACACAAAUAUGAAAAAAAUAUAAAUAGAUGAAGAGUUUUCUUUUUAGAGAAGAAUUCUCUAAAUUGGCCUAAUCUAUCAUUUAAUUAUAUUAUAAUAUAUCAGUUUCAUCUACCAUUUAGUAUUAUAAUAUAUCAUAGGACUCACUGGAACACAGUCUUCAACAUGGAAUUCUGGACAAGUUGUUCUGCUUUCCAUCGUGACAUAUUGAUCUUCAAUCUUGAGGCACUCAUACCGAAUGCAUGUGUCAUUAGCAGGACUCCAGUACUGAUCAACCUGAAAAUCGAUGGCAGACAUUAGAGGCCCGGUGCUAUGCAUUUUAAAUACCACACAUUACUGUACACCCAUCUCUCUGUUUUUAGAACCUAUUUUUUUUUAAAUACAGAGUCAGAGGGAGUUGAAGCCCAGGUUGGAUGCAUUGGGUGCACAGCAAGAAUCAGUCCUGGACCAGAUGCAUGUCCAUCACUGGGCAAACUCAAGUACACACAGAUAAACACAGUGGGACUAUUUACAGUUGCAGGAUCUCAAGGACUAUCUAGAACAGUGGCACAGACUACCUAGAACCGCGCAAAGAAGAAGGAAGUCAUCAUGAUGCUUACCACAGCUAUAAAUGGGGCAGCAUUCAUCUGGAGAAGUCCUGAACACUGGCUUGAAUCCCAGUUCACAAUUGUCAGUUGGUUUGGGGCAGAGAGACAAAUCACAUUCUGUCCAAAGAGAAUGAAAACAAGAAGAAGAAUCAGAAAAUGAUGAAUAUGGAUAAGGAGCACUUUGGACUGAGAGAAGCCAAUAUCUAUCAAAAGCCUGAAGCAAACCUGGCCUGGUCACCAGUCCACCAAUGGGUGCAUUGAAGCACAAACUCAAAGUCACCCGUUGUCGGACAGUGUUAACAAACCUGAUUAAUCUAACAAGCAUGUCAUUAGGUUGUAGAAGGAAACUGGACACGAGUGAUAUGUGUGAACACCAAACAUUUGGAAACAAAGAUGCUAAGAGCUCUGAAGGUGUGACGCACGAGUGUGGAACAACAUCUACAGCAUUUACAUCUUUCAUAUUUACAAGGAAAAAUCUCUAGGAGAAUCUGUGAAAGCAUGCAAAAAAUCGACUAUUGUGCCUAAUGUUGGACUGUUUCUACCACCAAUCAAUGUGAACGCUCUUCUGUACAUAAUUGAUUUUCCAAUAUGGAACAAGACAGCAUAGAAAACAGCUGGAUUCUACAGGACACAGAGAAUGAAGAAUGAAUGCAUAAAGAAUUCAGAAAUGCAAGCCUUUGUGUGACUGACCCCCUCCAGCCACAUGCACAGUUGAUUCAGGUGGACGUUUAAUACUCAUCUCACUUUUGGAUAGUAAGAAGAUUAUAGGCACUUUCCAGAUAAAGUAUUGUAAAAGAGUUGAUUGGCUGACUUGGUUUAAAACUGUACAGAAUUAUUCUAGACUGAAAUUUUAUUUAAGUCCAUUUUCUUUGAAACAAAAUUUGGUGUCUAAUAGAAUAGCGGAGUAACAUUUUUUUUAUUUCUCAGCAUAAUCCUUUAUGGCCUUUUUGCCUGAUUUUGAAAUUGUGUAUAAUGUGCCUUACAUUAAGUUAAAUGAGUACUAAACAGUACUUCACAUGCACAGAUGUAUGUUUUGCUUGCUAAUUGUAUCAACAAAAUCAGAAUAGCAUUAGUGUUGUGUAUUAGACUGAAUUAAGUAUAAUAGUACAACAGUAAAUAUCAUUGUUUUGGUCUGCCAGAGACCUUCAAGCAAUAUUGGCCAUAAGAUGAUGGGGUGGCAAUUCAUCACAGGACCCUUUUACACCCAUGGGAACAAUCUGGAGUCAUAAAAAGUAUAUCUUUGUUUUGUAGAGAAGAAAAAUCCCAUUUAUUGGGAGAAUAUGCUCAAUAAAUAUUUUAGUUGGUAGGUAACAUACUCAACUAUUCCAGGUCUAAUUGAUCCAUUUAAUCUUUUACACAUUUUUAAUAAUAUUUGGUUUAAAUGUCCUUAGCUGCAAGCUUGAAAAUAUCUCUGAAUCACGGUUCUCCGUUUAUGUCUAGCUUAUGUGGAAUUGCCAAAUAAUUAUUGGCCUCCUCUUGAUUUGGUUCACUUAUUGACUUAACACUAGCACUGUCAGAAUCUGAUUGUUUGUGGUUCUAGAUAAAAGUUCUUAAAUGUCUUUACAAGUGACUUUACAGCAAAGGGCUUAUUUGUUUCUUCAACUUCUUUAUUGUACUAAUGUCACACUCCAGCUGAAUAAACAAAAAUAAAAAAGUCA